Long non-coding RNA from Oxyura jamaicensis (ruddy duck), 209 nucleotides. RefSeq lists it as uncharacterized. The transcript is spliced from 3 exons. Lineage: Eukaryota; Metazoa; Chordata; Aves; Anseriformes; Anatidae. The record is from RefSeq and is a predicted model, not a curated record.
GCCGCUCCUCCCAGGCCUUGUGUCCCAGGCCCUUCCCCAGCUUCGCAGCCCUUCUCUGGACACGCUCCAGGGCCUCGAUGUCCUUCUGGCAGUGAGGGGCCCAAAGCUGACCCCAGCACUCGAGGGGCGGCCUCAGCAGAGCAGAGCACAGGGGGACGAUCACCUCCCUGCCCCUGCUGGCUGCACUACCCCUGACACAAACAGGGUGC